This 28-nucleotide non-coding RNA is filed under the name Cricetulus griseus (Chinese hamster). Lineage: Eukaryota; Metazoa; Chordata; Mammalia; Rodentia; Cricetidae. The record is from RNAcentral.
UCCGCAUAUCAUGGGGAGAUAGACGCUG